This is a long non-coding RNA of Asparagus officinalis (garden asparagus), 2639 nucleotides long. RefSeq lists it as uncharacterized. The transcript is spliced from 2 exons. NCBI's taxonomy places the organism in Eukaryota, Viridiplantae, Streptophyta, Magnoliopsida, Asparagales, Asparagaceae. The record is from RefSeq and is a predicted model, not a curated record.
AUCCGCCUCGUCCUCCGCCGCUCCUCGCCUCCUCCUCCACCGCUACUCUGCCGCCUCCUCAAUCGCCUCUCGAUUCCACACGCUACUCAGCCGGAAUGAGUCUUGUUGUUAUGCUUAGUAAGUAUUCGGUGGAUCAGUCGGCGGCUGAGAGGUUGAAGAAGAUCUGUUAUGGUUGAUGCCCAGUAAGUGCUUGAUGAAAUUACUCAGUUGGAUAAUAAUAAGAUUUUUAGCAGUUUUGGAUGAUGAAGUAAGUUCAGAUUGACUAUUUGAAGUUUACAAGCAUGAGCUUUUAUGGUAGGAAUAUAAAUGACAGUUGAACUGAGCUGGAUUUAUUUAUUUUGAGCUGUAUACUCUUUAUGUCAAAUCUGGUGGAUUAGCUUAUGAAUUCUGCUGCAAAAUGAUAAUAAUGAAUACUGUUGUCUCAAUUUUUUGUCGGCUUUCUGAAUUCUUUUUCUUUCGUUUAUCUGUAGAUGAAUAAUUAGUCAAGUUAGAAGCCUUCAUAUUUCAUUUUCAGCUUCAAUUCAAGCUUAUUUGCUCUAUCCCUUAUCCUGGUAUUCCACAGCUAUGUUAGAAGCCUUCAUAUUUCAUUUGCAGCUUCUAAUAGUCUCCUUACAUGCUUAAUCUGGGUAAUUUUCUAUCAUUUAUUGAUGUUAUCUUAAUUUUCCAUGAAUGAACACAUUCUGUAUUCAGUCUUUUUCUCACAAUGGCUGCUUACUCGUUUUCAGAUAAAUUCAUCUCUUGAACAUAAUUUUCUUGAAUGCUUGACAUUUUACCUUUAAAUUAUAACUGAUCUUAUAACCAUCUAGUGGAAACUUUCUGUUCACUUCAUGGGCUAUUAUAUGAUCACAUAAUACUGUGGACAUUUCUCCACUUCAGCCAUCCUGCCUUUUGUAAUGGGAGAUGGGUUUUCUCACUCAAGUUGCUAGCACUACUGCCAUACACAGUCCUUAAUCACCACAUUAUAACUGCUAAAUACUCAAUUUCUUUUGAUAAAGUACUUGCUUCUUUUGACGCAACAUGUAAUCUCUAAGGAUCUCAUCCUUUUAUAUAAGCACUAGCCUAUGUGUAUUGAUAUCCAUGAGUUACAAAUGAAGAGUUGGCGUUAAGUACUUUAGGCAGGUUGGGUUGGGUUAGCUGGCACACAUCUUAGCCUAAAUCCAACCUAUCUAAAAUUUGGUCAAGGUUUAAACUGUAUCUUACUAAAAAUGAAAACAUUUGACCUUAAACUCAGGUUAAGUUUGAAUUGUUUCAUGGUCAGGUUUGAUCCAAUCUGCAAAGUUACAGCACUCUGCACGCGAUACUUAGAUUCCAUUCUCUAUAUAGAUAGAUGUACAUAAUGACAGGGUUCAUCAUGGUUGGUCAUGCAGUUGAUAGGAUUGGUCAUGAUUGGUUAUGCGGUUCAUUUGUAUAGUUUUAUUGAAGUUACUAUUUAAAACAUGCAGGAAUAUUUUAUAUACUGGUAUAUAUCAUCUAGCACAUGCGUGAAAUGUUUUUGUCAGAUUAUCAUUGUCAAGGGUAAGGGUUUAGUAUAAAUUUUUAUUUUUUAAACAUAUGACAAUAGAUCAAUAUAUCAAUGUUGGAAGACCCCAUUUCAGGUUGGUAUUAGGCAUUCAAUCUUGAAUGUGGUUUCAUUAUGGAAGUUUCAAAGAGUUUCAGGUCUGAGUUUCUCUUUCAGAAUUUUAGUAAACCUUGUUACAAACAUAGGAUUUCUAGACGUUUUGGGCUCAUGUUUAGAAUUCUGCAGAAUUUAAAGUUAUUUAUAUUCUUGAAAUGUUUUCUCUGUGCUGUAAAUUUAGUAUUGAGUUGCAGGCUACUGAGGCAUUACUUCAUGCUAAUUCGAUCCAAGCAAUUGCCCCAGGACAUCAAAGCUGCAUCAGGACAUCAAAGCUGCAUCAGGUUAAGCAAGCAUUCUGAAAUUAUUUUCAUUUUUAGCAUUUUCAUAUGUACAUUAUAUAUGUGUGUAUUAUCUGAUUGGGAAGAAUUGCUUUUUAGGAAAAAUUUGGCGUUCAAAGUUAGCAUAAAACGAGAAAAGGCAAUUUGAUGAAACUUGUGCAGAUAAUAUCAGUAAUUCAAAAUGUGAUGAGUACAGCAUUCAUGUUCUAUCUACUAGCAUUUGGCCUGUUUGUUCUUAGGGAAGGUGAGGGGAAAGGCAGUCUAUCAAGAAUUUGCUCCAGGUUAUGUUUCCAGUCGAUGGUACUCACAUUGAAACAUGACUCAUAUACUCUUAUAAUUUUCAUCUGUUAUUCUGUUGCUUUCUUUUCCUUCUAUGUAACGAUGAUGCUGCAAUAAAACAAGGUCAGACGGUAUUUAAAUCUAUCUCUUUAUCGGUCUUCUUGAUUACACAUACCCAUGAAUACUUACAUGCACGCAUCCAUCAAUGCAGAUAGAUCUACCAAGGGAGAGACAAUGCAAAGACCGAAAACAUGAACCGGUAUUAUACAUGGAUCGGGUCAUCGAAAAGAUAACCUCAUUUUGGAUAUUAGAGACAAGUAUAUAAUAUUAGAUGCUUUUCAUUGUGAGAUAUUGAGUACAUUGUGUAUGUAUAUGUUUUGUCUCUAAGUAUAUUGAGUAAACAUUGUGUAUGAAUAUAUAACAUUGGAUAUUUAGCAAAGUAUGAGAAUAUUUUGAUUUCAUUGUGA